Molecule: long non-coding RNA, 1827 nt
Organism: Balaenoptera acutorostrata (minke whale)
Lineage: Eukaryota; Metazoa; Chordata; Mammalia; Artiodactyla; Balaenopteridae
Exons: 3
Source: RefSeq, a predicted model, not a curated record
CAACACGAUAUUUCCCCCUUUUACAGAGGAGGAAACUAAAGCUCAGAAACUGAAGCUUCAGAGGUGGUGAAACCAGAACAGGGAGCCGAGCGGUCAAAUUCCAAGAGGAAGAGACCCAUUUGCUGCCUUCAAAUCUCUGACGAGCCAUGAGGAACGGGGAAUGGCCAUCUUCUGUGGGGAUGACGGGUGGAAGAAGCAGCAAGCAGAUGGGUUACAGUGUAAGGAGGGACCAAUGUAAGGAUGAACUCUCCAGCUGUGGGACCUGCCUGGGGAUCUUACCAGCUGCUUUGUAAAGAGACUGGGAUGGAGUGGAGAGAAGAGGUCAAGAAGCAGCGAUGGUGGGCUGUGUGGUGGCCCGUGGACCACAGCCAGCUGAGAGUCUGAUGUGGGAAGGGUCUGCUGGAGCUCCACGCUCUGAGGGCCGAGUGCUCUGAGGCCAUCUUUAUCUGCUGUCCCCAAGAGGUAACCGGGGCAUUCCCAUUGAUUUGGGCGGCCAGCCAAAGACCUGCCUGGGCCUCAUGGGCAGCUGUCUCCUUUGCCACAGUGACCAGAAUGAGUUGUUCGGCCAGGUCAAGGCAAGCCCGGCCUCGGCCAUGGGUGUUGGUCAGCCACCUGUGUCCAAGAGACAGCUGGCCAAGCCACUGGCCAUCCCUCCUCUGCAGCUGGCCUGGAUUGUCCAUAUUGAAGAGGAGUUCUCUGAGGACAUCUGAGUAACUGAAAUCCGGAAUCUGGAGCUACAGGCGGAGUGAUUUGACAGUAGCAUCCCAACACUGUCCGCGGAACACCUCAAACUACAAAAUUGUCUGCUGCAGUUCCUUGAGGGUUAAGAGAAACCAGACCAUCCCCCUCGUCCAGAAAGUCUCCCAGGAGUGUGCUCAGUUGGUGAACAGAGGGUGGCAGCAUCCCUCCCCCACCAGCCCUCCUGGCCACCCACCUCCUGCUUGGUUUUUGGUUUUCCCCUGGAGGCAUUUCCUGCCAGCCUGGGGAGGUGUGGGCAUGAGCAGCCUUCAGGCUCAGCCCAGCCUGGCCCAUGUUCUUCUAGGAGUCCUGAGAGCUACUCCCACUCAUUCAUUCAUUAAUCAAUGCUUCCUGAGUACCCGUGCACCUGCAAACCUAAAACAGCAGAUAAUUCCCUCAUAGAAAAAUGGGCAAAGGAUAUGAACAGGUGAUUCCCAGACCUGGCCUUGCUACUUAUUUGCUGUGUAAAUUUGGGGAAGUAACUUAACCACUCUGUGCCUGUUUUCUUAUCUGUAAAAUUGUGAUAAUAAUGCUUCUAAUUCACUGGGUUACUGUGGAAAUUGAAUGAGAUAAUCCACAUGUUAUGAGUAGAAUUGUGUCCCCCACCAAAUUCACAUGUUGAAGCCCUAACCUCCCGGUACCUCAGAAAUUAUUUGGAGACAGGGACUAUAAGGGGUGAUGAUGUUCAAAUGAGGCCAUUGGCCCUAAUCCAAUAUGACUGGUGUCCUUGUAAGAAGAGGAAAAGACAAAAGAAAUGGGCACACAGAGAAAAGACCAUGUGAAGAGGUAGCAAAAGGGUGGCCAAGGAAAGAGGCCGAAGGAGAAAUGAACCCUGUGGGCACCCUGAUCUUGGCCGUCUAGCCUCCAGAACCCUGGGAAAAUAAAUGUCUGCGGUAUUUUGUUAUGGCAGCCCUAGCACACUAAUAUACCACCCAAAGCACUAGAACAGCAUCUGGCAUAUAGUAUAUACUCAAUAAAUACUAAUUACUGCCAUAAAUAUUAUUGUUUAUCUCAGCUGUAUACCCACCAUAUUAGUUUCCUACUGCUGCUGUAGAAAAUUACCCCCAAACGAACUGGCUUAAGAUAACA